AUCGAACGCUGGCGGCAUGCUUUACACAUGCAAGUCGAACGGUAACAGGUUAAGCUGACGAGUGGCGAACGGGUGAGUAAUGCAUCGGAACGUGCCCGGUCGUGGGGGAUAACACUUCGAAAGAAGUGCUAAUACCGCAUACGAUCUGAGGAUGAAAGCGGGGGACCGUACGGCCUCGCGCGAUCGGAGCGGCCGAUGUCAGAUUAGGUAGUUGGUGGGGUAAAGGCGCGCCAGGCCGACGAUCUGUAGCUGGUCUGAGAGGACGACCAGCCACACUGGGACUGAGACACGGCCCAGACUCCUACGGGAGGCAGCAGUGGGGAAUUUUGGACAAUGGGCGCAAGCCUGAUCCAGCAAUGCCGCGUGCAGGAAGAAGGCCUUCGGGUUGUAAACUGCUUUUGUACGGAGCGAAAAGGCUCUCUCUAAUACAGGGGGCUGAUGACGGUACCGUAAGAAUAAGCACCGGCUAACUACGUGCCAGCCGCCGCGGUAA
This 493-nucleotide ribosomal RNA is filed under the name uncultured bacterium. Its description in RNAcentral is "partial 16S ribosomal RNA". It matches the Rfam family "Bacterial small subunit ribosomal RNA", at positions 29 to 523 of the family's 1533-position model. The record is from RNAcentral.